UGAAAAAUGAAAAUGUGAAGCAACAGCUAAAAUUUCCGAAUUGUCUCCAGUUUAAAAUUGAUAAACUCGAUUCAGUUGAUAUUUAGGGGUAUAAGCAAUUGUGACAACAAUUAAGUAUAUGAUCAUCUAAACCAGGCAUGAUUUACCCUCGUUCACUCCAAAAGAAAACUUCUGAUGGCAAGUCCUCACUGAAAAUAGUCUAGAGAAGUGAGUGAGCAGAACGUUUUAUAGAGAGCAUCAACAUCUCUGUCCACCAUUAGCAUUCCUCCCCCCUGAAAAAUAGCAUAUACCAGGUCCCUUGCACAUGCAUAUGGCUGCAGCAAAAUAUCAAUUUCACAAUUGAACUCGACACUCUAUCUACUGUCGUCUCUAUGCAUGCUUACUAAACAGCAACUCCCUCCCCUAAUGUUGUAGAAAUACAUGAAUAGCACGAGUGGAGCUUCCAAUUCAAUGGUUCUGCUCUAUGACCUCAGAUCCUGGCAACCCAUUUCCUCGAGUUCCUGGAGACAUAGGUGACAUGCCAGAUUCUGGGGCUAUCUCCAUAUUUGGUUUUGAAUCCACUGGCGCAGCUCCAGAAAAUCCAUCAACUGGUGCACCUAUAGACAAUGGAGGCAUCACAGAUGGAGGAGCAACCUGAAUGCUUGACAUUCCUGGAUCUGGAUCCAUCUGAUCGAACUUACUUUGGCGAGGCCUCCUUUGAUAUCUAUCACGACUACGACUACGACUGCGGCUGAGGCUGCGGCUGCGGCUGCGGCUACGCCUGGGGCUGUAGCUGCGGCUACGGCUUCGGCUGUAACUCCUACUAUAACUCCUGCUUCUGCUGCGACUCCUGCUUCUGCUUCUACUACCCCAUGUUCGAACUCUCUCUGGACUAGGACUAUAACUUCUUCCUCGACUCCGACUUGGCAUGUCUCUUCUAUUGUCAAAACGUCCACGCCCACGACCUCUCCCACGUCCUCGCACAUCUGAACUGUCAUAACGAUCACUCCUGUCCCAAGCACUUUGAGCACCACCCCUGCCACCACGGCCACCAAAAUUGUUGUCCCUCAUCCCAACACGGCCACCAAAGUGACCAUCCCUUCCACCGCGGCCACCAAAGUUGCUCUCCCUUCCACCACGACCACCAAACCCACCAUCUCUCAUCCCACCAGGGCCACCAAACCCACCAUCUCUCAUCCCACCAGGG
Molecule: unclassified non-coding RNA, 1186 nt
Filed under: Hevea brasiliensis (rubber tree)
Lineage: Eukaryota; Viridiplantae; Streptophyta; Magnoliopsida; Malpighiales; Euphorbiaceae
Source: RNAcentral